Molecule: long non-coding RNA, 1480 nt
Filed under: Citrus sinensis (sweet orange)
Lineage: Eukaryota; Viridiplantae; Streptophyta; Magnoliopsida; Sapindales; Rutaceae
Description: long non-coding RNA (CSIN_LNC002887)
Source: RNAcentral
AAGCAAAUUGUAUUUAAUAAUUUUUUUGUUAUCAUCUUUAAAGGCACAAACAAAAAUCAACUUCAACGCUAUCAAUAGGAUAAAUAUUUCGCUAACUUUCUCUUCUCAUUACUUAAUUUAUCUGGUUGACUUGCCAGUCUGACCAAGUAGCUGACCAGUUCAAAUCAGUCGUGUGUUUUUCUUUGUUCUUUCCGUUUCUUUUCCGCUUUCUUUCCUUUCGGGAAGUGCUUCUUCCGUGCAAGUUCACUAAAUCAACUAAUUGGCACCAGCUAUUAUUAUGCAUAAAACACAAAGGGUGGAUUUGCACAAAUUAAAAUAUUUCAUUCUACUAACUAAACGCAAUUUGCCCACCAGCUAAUGUGCAUAAUAAACUUAGAAGGGUGGCUAUUCGCUAACGCCUAAUAAUAAUAAUUAAAAGUAUAUUAAGUAUGAACGAGACCAAAAAGUACUUUAUUCAUUUAUUUAUUUCAUAAUUUAAGCAUUUUGUAUGCUACUUUACUUUGCUAAGGAUUUCAUAAGUACUUUUGCACACAAUUGACAGCUAUAGAAUCAUAUUGUAGUUAAACUGACUGCUAUAGUGCCCUAAAAGGAGGAUUUCAUUAAUAAAUAAAAUCCUGGAUUACCAAUUUAAACAACACUAACAGCCAUCUUCACCUAACCUCAGGUCCAAUUAAACUAUUAAACUAAGGCUUUGUUUGCCAUUGAAAUAUUAAACGAUUGUGGGCUUUGAAAUAGAAGCAACAAGUAAACAGAAAUGAAUGUUCGAUAAUCAUACCACUUGAGGGGUAAAUUAAACAAAGUAAUAUACAAAAUUUUCAUCAAAUAAUAAGAAUAAAAAUCAGUUUUCCAAACAUUUUAGCCGCUCCUUACAAAGUAUAACUAUUAAACACCCACCACCAAAAAUAUAGACACAAUUGCAAUACUGUUCUUUUCUGAUAAGAGAUAAGAUGAUAAUAAAAACAAUUAAAAUAUGAAGGCAAUUUUGAAGAAACAGAUUUAAAUGCAAUGAUUAUAACUAAGUUCAAAAUUUAAAAUUAAAUUAAAUAUCGAAAUCACAUCCGCAAAUUCUAAGUUGUAGAAGCAACCGAAUUGUGAUUUGUGCAGCAGAAGCACCCAACACAAAAUUAAAUGAUAAUCUCUUCUCCUUGUAUAUACGAAGAGUAAUGUCAUUACAAUUAACACCUACUAAUCACUUGUCUCUCUUUCAAGUAUCGGCACCAAAUUUAUAAUUAAUUACAACACUAUGAAUUUCGCAAAAUAAAAAAUAACAUAAAAAAAAAAUUAGAAAGAGAGUUUCGAGACUAAACGAUGACUAUAUCAGAACCAGAAAUAACCAACCAACUAAGACGGUCGGUUCGGCCGACGAACCGAUAGCUGAACGGGGAGGGGCCGACCGGUACCGGUUCCUCCACAGCUGCGACACGCCAUGCGGCCCGAGCCGGCGCAGGUCCGGCACCCAACAUCGCCGUCCGACCACCGC